RNAcentral lists this ribosomal RNA (412 nucleotides) under Salmonella enterica. Its description in RNAcentral is "bacterial SSU rRNA". It matches the Rfam family "Bacterial small subunit ribosomal RNA", at positions 559 to 970 of the family's 1533-position model. Lineage: Bacteria; Pseudomonadati; Pseudomonadota; Gammaproteobacteria; Enterobacterales; Enterobacteriaceae. RNAcentral also lists the same sequence under 3 other names. The record is from RNAcentral.
CGUAAAGCGCACGCAGGCGGUCUGUCAAGUCGGAUGUGAAAUCCCCGGGCUCAACCUGGGAACUGCAUUCGAAACUGGCAGGCUUGAGUCUUGUAGAGGGGGGUAGAAUUCCAGGUGUAGCGGUGAAAUGCGUAGAGAUCUGGAGGAAUACCGGUGGCGAAGGCGGCCCCCUGGACAAAGACUGACGCUCAGGUGCGAAAGCGUGGGGAGCAAACAGGAUUAGAUACCCUGGUAGUCCACGCCGUAAACGAUGUCUACUUGGAGGUUGUGCCCUUGAGGCGUGGCUUCCGGAGCUAACGCGUUAAGUAGACCGCCUGGGGAGUACGGCCGCAAGGUUAAAACUCAAAUGAAUUGACGGGGGCCCGCACAAGCGGUGGAGCAUGUGGUUUAAUUCGAUGCAACGCGAAGAACC